GAUGAACGCUGGCGGCGUGCCUAAUACAUGCAAGUAGAACGCUGAAGGAGGAGCUUGCUCUUCUGGAUGAGUUGCGAACGGGUGAGUAACGCGUAGGUAACCUGCCUGGUAGCGGGGGAUAACUAUUGGAAACGAUAGCUAAUACCGCAUGACAACAGUUAUUGCAUGAUAACUGUUUAAAAGGGGCAACUGCUCCACUACCAGAUGGACCUGCGCUGUAUUAGCUAGUUGGUGAGGUAACGGCUCACCAAGGCGACGAUACAUAGCCGACCUGAGAGGGUGAUCGGCCACACUGGGACUGAGACACGGCCCAGACUCCUACGGGAGGCAGCAGUAGGGAAUCUUCGGCAAUGGACGGAAGUCUGACCGAGCAACGCCGCGUGAGUGAAGAAGGUUUUCGGAUCGUAAAGCUCUGUUGUAAGAGAAGAACGAGUGUGAGAGUGGAAAGUUCACACUGUGACGGUAUCUUACCAGAAAGGGACGGCUAACUACGUG
This 495-nucleotide ribosomal RNA is filed under the name uncultured bacterium. RNAcentral's name for it is "partial 16S ribosomal RNA". It matches the Rfam family "Bacterial small subunit ribosomal RNA", at positions 28 to 507 of the family's 1533-position model. The record is from RNAcentral.